Molecule: ribosomal RNA, 376 nt
Filed under: uncultured bacterium
Lineage: Bacteria
Description: bacterial SSU rRNA
Rfam family: Bacterial small subunit ribosomal RNA
Source: RNAcentral
CACGGGGGUUGCGAGCGUUGUCCGGAAUUACUAGGCGUAAAGGGCAGGUAGGCGGAUCUAUAAGUUUGAUGUUAAAGGCGACGGCUUACCCGUCGUAAGGCAUUAGAUACUGUAGAUCUAGAAUGCGGUUGGGGAAGACAGAAUUCCUGGUGUAGCGGUGGAAUGCGCAGAGAUCAGGAGGAAUACCGAAGGCGAAGGCAGUCUUCUAAGCCGAUAUUGACGCUAAACUGCGAAGGUGUGGGUAUCAAACAGGAUUAGAUACCCUGGUAGUCCACACAGUAAACGAUAAUCACUAGGUGUCGGGUUCUUUAACGGAUUCGGUGCCGUAGCUAACGCGUUAAGUGAUUCGCCUGGGGAGUACGAUCGCAAGGUUGAA